GUCACAGACAAAAUAUUCAAUACAACCCAUUAUGUAAUAUUUUCAGUGGAUGUAUCCGUACCAAAAAGCAAAAGGGAUCAGUGACCUCACAUGGCGAUCUUCACUUCAUUUCUACCAUAAAUACCCACAAUACCCACGAAGCAAAAUCACAACAAGAUCAUCAAUCCCUUGCUUUCCAUUUUGCAUAGAAAGAUCCCACUUCUAUUGAGCAGAAAGGAAACAUCAUUCAACAGUAGAUCACGAUCAUUCUUAAGAGCUCGCCUCGCAAUUGAGGGCUCAUAGUCCUUGAACCGAAACUCUGAUUUUCUCGCACCCUUCUCUUUCUUUGUUCUAUUUUGUACUUUUUUUUUCGUCUAUUUCUUAAUCCUCAUUUCCCGAAAACCUUCAAUAGCUGCUGUUGUUAAUGGAGAAAACGUGAGAUUCAGAAAAUGACUGGGUGGAACACUAAUGGCGUCUGAUCUUGACAAAGAACCCCCUGACCCUGAGCAAACCAGAAAACAACAAGAGAAAAGUUUGUGCACACAUUAUAUAUGAAGGAGGAAGAAGAGGUACUUGUACUCUAAACUAGAUCUUUUAUUAUAUCAUGAAGAACACGUUUUACAUCUGUUUACUACCAUACAUAUCGAUCACUAAACCAUCGUGACUUUUCAAUGUAACCAUAGCACCUUUUCAUAUAUAACUACCCAAUAACCAGAAUUUAAACGAAAAACUAGAUUACCCUUUCAACACUCCCCCGUAAUCUAGACUUUAACAUUUCUUAACUUUAUGAAAAUCUACAAUCUUUUUAACCUUUGUUUUGGGUUCCAUGUUAUCACUUUUCAAAACACAUUUAUGUUCACAACUUUGUCUUUUCUUUCAAAGUACGUUACUUUUUCCCUUUUUUUUACAGACCCACGUGAUUUGUCUUUUCUUUUACACACAAUGUACUACAGCCUUUGUUGACACACCAUGUGACUUCUGUUCUUGUCCUUUUCUUGAAUUUAAUAUAACCAUUAACCAAAGCGUGAAGACAGUUCCUUCUCUAAUAUCCUCAUUUUGCUUUUUUUUUUUUUUCAUCAAUUUGUUUUAUUUCAAAACACUUAAUGUCAUCACAAGCAUUGUUCUGAAUCUUUUCAUCCGGAUCUAUGAACACUCUAUCAUCAACAUCUUUUCAACUUGGUCACAAUCUCAUGCCAUGCAUCAAUCAACAUCAUUUUUCAGUUGGGUUCCUUUAUAUUUGUGUUCUAAUAUGCAAACAAAUGAGUUUUUUUUGAAGGAAAUAUUUUCCUGCUUUGAAAGUUAAUUGAUUAGUUUGCUUUUUUAUUUGAUACAAUCGUUGCAAAGUAACUUCAAUUCAAGAAUCUAAAUUCAUUCGAUUACUAGCCAUAAACACAUUUGUUUUCAUUAACCAAAGAGCGAACUUCUUGACCUUAGUGAAUCAGUAUGAGUUAUAUGUUUCUAUGAAGGGCAAAUCUAAGGAUUUAAGUUAAUACAUAGAUUAUAGGGCAACGUUAUAACUUUUAAGUUUCAAGUCUGUAUCAUAUUCGAAGAUAUACAUGUUUCUUAAUAAGAAGCAUAAGAAAAAUACAUUCUAUAAACCAAAAUGUCAAUAUGCCAAAAUUCUAUUAAGACUAAACUGCAAAUUUGGUCCCUAUGGCUUGUCAAAAAAUAUGGAUUAAGUCCAAAAAGUUUCUGACUUGCACCAUUAGUCCAAAAUUGAAUUUUUUUUGUGGUUUUGGUCCCUGAUAAAAUUAAAAUAACUUGAAAGGACUAUUAUGCGCUUCCUAUUUUCUUUUUACACUUUUUAAAAUAUAUUUUAAUAUUUUCAAAAAAAAAAGACCACGACAACAUUGAGUAACCCCCCCUCCCGGUAAGCUUGAUAAUCAUAACGACGACUCUUUGUCUGGGCUGUCUUCGCAUCAAACUCACACACACACAUAAUGAAAUCACAAAUUUUGGGCGUAAGUAACUAAACUCAGAAUCAAAUAGCACCAUAAUGGGUUGCCUUUUAAGAAAAUUUGCACAUGUCUAGGGAGUAAUUAGCAUCAAAUAGCACCAUCUUGUAAAAAAAAUGUCACAAAGGUUGUCUUUUAAGAAAAUUUGCACAUGUUUUUUAAGAAAUUCCAUCUACAGUUUUUUGCUAACCACAAGGACCAAAUUUGCAGUUUAGUUAAACUUAAUACAUCCAUUUCACAGUUUAGUAUACGAAAUUCACAACUUAAUAUAACAAAUUCACUGUUUAAUACACAAAAAGUAUACAUUCACAUACACCUUUAGAUAUGGAGGACAGUGUUUCUUUCAAAGUUCAAUUUACACAAUAUUCACAAUUUAAACUUUACACACUUUACUCAAAAUUAUAGAAAAUCUAUCUACAUAUAAAUGCUUCAUUUAUAUCAUAUUUAAGAUAUAAACAAAAAAUUCAUAAAAAAUAUACAAUUUAAUACAGUCAAUUCACAGUUUAAUAUAUUCAAUUCACACUCCAAUACACAAAAUUCACAGCAUAAUAUAAUAAAUUAACAGUUUAAUAUAUACAGUUCACAGCUUAAUAUAGUCAGUUUACAAUUUAAACAUAAAAUCCACAGCUUAAUGCAUUCAACUACAAUUUAAAACCCAAAUAUCACAACUUAAUUUACAAAAUUCAUAGCUUAAUACAAUAAAUCGCAGUUUUAAUACACAAAUUUAAAAAGAAAUAGUAUAACAUUAUCUAUGUUAUACGAUUCAUAGUAAUGCUAACAAAAUUAAAAAGAAAUACUAUAAUAUUACCUUUAUAUCUUUCCAGAAUCCAAGUCGUUUAUUUGCUACCUCAUUAACAAAAAAAAAACUCUAGUAAGCCAAAAUGAAACUCCUCCCUCUCCCGCAUCAAAGAUGCUUUCAAGUUGCUUCUUCUCCGGCGACCGGUAAGCGGCCAGAGAGUAAGGGAGGAACGUCAACUCUCUGGUAGUAAGGCGUUGGAGGGCGAUGAGCGAUGAAGGAACUGGUUCAAGGACCUUGAAGCUGUUUGGUACCCGAAAUGUUAAGUUUAUCGAGGAUGCAGCAGGAAAAACAUUAUGGCAGAGUUUUAAAACACCAAGGUGUUGUUUGUUUUUUUGAAGCGAAAAUGCCUGAAGUCUGCAGACCAUCUCUGCAACUCUUUGUAGCAGAAGAGGUGGACCAAACGGCUGCAACAUUUAAUAAAAAGUAUGUUUGUUUUUUAACGUCUGCAUACUGCUGUAGUAAGUUAAAGUAAGGUGUAAAGAGGUUUGAAACAAUUGACCUAGUGUUGCGCCAUGCAACAGACGCGCAAUGGUUUUUAAGUCAGAAGUCUUCUAAAAAACAAACAGCUUUGAAGAACAAACAGCUAUGAAGAGUCAAGUGUUGCGUGUGUGUUGCGGCGCGCAACAAUAAGUGGUCUGAAGUGGUUUUUUUAGAAAAAACAAACAGCAACAAAUACUGGAAUGAAGUUGGACAAAAGUUUAACGGUGACAUCAUGGAAAAGUCUCAAUGAUCCAGGAACUGGAAGCUACCUAUUUCGGCAAGAUGAAAGAGGCAACCAAUACUUCGUUAUUAUGAAAGAUACAACAUAUCAUUGGAAAAGCAGAAAUCCAAAGAACAGCUUUGAUGACAACAAAAUGUUCCCCGAGGCUGUGAGUUUGCUAUCAAACACAACCACAGGAGAUCAACAAGUAAUUACAACUUAUAACAUAACUUAUAUUGUGACCAAUCCUUACUCAAGGUUGGUAAUAAACUACACAGGCCAUUUACAGUAUUUUAGUUGGUGAAAAGCGAGUAAACAAUGGGUUUUGGAAUGGGAAGCGCCUAGAGAUUAUUGUAGCGAAUACCAUGUGUGUGGGUCAUUCGGAUAUGCAACCAACCAAAUGAUCAUUAGCCAUUGUGUAGUAGUUGUUUGAUUGGAUUUCAGUGUGCUUUACAAAGGGAUCAUAAGGUUGGAUGCAAGAGAAAAUCUGAAAUCUGUGAGAAUACUACAGAUACAUUCGUGAAUCUUACUAUGAUUAGUGUUGGUGAUACAUAUGUGACCUUUCAAAAAUCAAAUAACAAGUCUUUAUGCAUAGAGAAAUGUCAUGAGUGUGUAGCAUAUGCUUAUACAUCUUAGCAAGAGGAACAACUGGUGGAUGAAAGCUGCCUUGAUACCCAAGGUUGUUGGUUCUGGCAUUCUCAGCUUCAUAAUCUCAAAGCAUAGGGCAGACAUAAUAUCUCCAUCCGUGUUUCUGCAGGGCAUCAAGUCAAAGGGCGAUCAGAAUUUCAGAAACUUGUUGUUCCUUUAGUUGUUGGUCUUUCUGUUUUGGGGGUUACAAUCUUGUGUGUGGUUGUGUAUAUGUCUUAUACCAGAUUGGUGAAUAGAAUAGCAGAAGACAGACGUAGGAUUGAACUUGAGUCCAACAAUAUGAGCAAAACAUGCCAUUGUCAAAUGUGAUUUUGAUGCUAGGAAGUGAACACGACACCCUCCCAACUUCAACCGAUCCAACUCACGACUCACAAAAGGAUCAUGCCAUUGCCUCUUCCUCUGGUUUGCCUAAAGAAGACCCACAAUUUAGCAAAAACAUGACGGAAAUUACUGUAUUACACCCUCGUUGACACUUUUUUACACCCUCCAGGUCAAUAUAUAUUUUUAGAACGACCAAGCUAACUAUAAAGAAAAAAACAAAGACCAAUGUCCAAGGAGAGCAAUUUACAGAGGACUAUCAAUCAAUCUGCAUCGGUAGAGAAAUCUACUUAUUGAAAUAUUUUAUUAUACUUACAAACUUCUCAUUGAGAAUACAUACAUAUCAAGUCUGAAAAGUUUGUAUUUCUUGGAGGUUUAGUUUAUAGAUAUAUUGAGAGUGCCUUUGUAUGAGAAUUGUUGAGAGGGACUUAAUGCGUCAUAUGUUCAGAACUUUUGGGUUUCGGCUCGUUUAUUACAAACUUCUAGGUUGAAGGACAAACAGGUUUUACCCGAUUGCUUAUGAUCGGUGUUUACUUCGGUCCAUGCCCCGAAUCUCUACCCGAUGUAUAAAUUAGAUUGUGUGUGUGUGUUGUUCAGUCAUAACAACAAGAUACAACACACUACAUAUCUAUUUUCGCUGUCUAGCUCUCUCAGUCAUAGGGCUUCUUCGUUGUUUAUAGAAAAGUUCUUCAUGUGUAAUCUUCUUUUUUCUUCAAUAUAGUUGAGUGUAGGAUAGGGGAGUGUUUUGUGGUGAGGUUACUAUGUACACAAUGUAAGCAAAAUUCAUUAAUGGUACGAUAAGUUGAUAAUUA
Molecule: non-coding RNA, 5211 nt
Organism: Lactuca sativa (garden lettuce)
Lineage: Eukaryota; Viridiplantae; Streptophyta; Magnoliopsida; Asterales; Asteraceae
Source: RefSeq, a predicted model, not a curated record